RNAcentral lists this unclassified non-coding RNA (349 nucleotides) under soil metagenome. RNAcentral's name for it is "partial contains 5.8S ribosomal RNA, internal transcribed spacer 2, and large subunit ribosomal RNA". The stretch from base 1 to 120 matches the Rfam family "5.8S ribosomal RNA", at positions 35 to 154 of the family's 154-position model. The record is from RNAcentral.
GAUGAAGAACGUAGCGAAUUGCGAUAAGUAAUGUGAAUUGCAGAAUUCAGUGAAUCAUCGAAUCUUUGAACGCACAUUGCGCCCGCCAGCACUCUGGCGGGCAUGCCUGUCCGAGCGUCAUUUCAACCCUCAGGGCCCCUUCGGGGGACCUGGCGUUGGGGAUCGGCCCGCCCCCGUGCGGCGCCGUCCCCGAAAUAUAGUGGCGGUCUCGCUGCAGCCUCCCCUGCGUAGUAGCACACCUCGCACUGGAGAGCGGCGCGGCCACGCCGUGAAACCCCCAACUUCUGAAUGUUGACCUCGGAUCAGGUAGGAAUACCCGCUGAACUUAAGCAUAUCAAUAAGCGGAGGA